GCAGGGCAUGGUGGCUCAUGCCUGUAAUCCCAGCAGCUCAAGAGGCUGAGGCAGGAGAAUUGCAAGUUCUAAGCCAGCCUCAGCAACUUGGCAAGGCCCUAAGAAACUCAGAGAGACUCUGUCUCUA
RNAcentral lists this small RNA (127 nucleotides) under Marmota monax (woodchuck). Lineage: Eukaryota; Metazoa; Chordata; Mammalia; Rodentia; Sciuridae. The record is from RNAcentral.